CUUCGGCAAUGGGCGAAAGCCUGACCGAGCAACGCCGCGUGAAUGAUGAAGGCCUUCGGGUUGUAAAAUUCUGUUAUAAGGGAAGAACGACUUUAGUAGGAAAUGGCUAAAGUGUGACGGUACCUUAUGAGAAAGCCACGGCUAACUACGUGCCAGCAGCCGCGGUAAUACGUAGGUGGCAAGCGUUAUCCGGAAUUACUGGGCGUAAAGGGUGCGUAGGUGGUUUCUUAAGUCAGAGGUGAAAGGCUACGGCUCAACCGUAGUAAGCCUUUGAAACUGGGAAACUUGAGUGCAGGAGAGGAGAGUGGAAUUCCUAGUGUAGCGGUGAAAUGCGUAGAUAUUAGGAGGAACACCAGUGGCGAAGGCGACUCUCUGGUCUGUUAUUGACACUGAGGCUCGAAAGCGUGGGGAGCAAACAGG
Molecule: ribosomal RNA, 420 nt
Filed under: uncultured prokaryote
Description: bacterial SSU rRNA
Rfam family: Bacterial small subunit ribosomal RNA
Source: RNAcentral